RNAcentral lists this ribosomal RNA (378 nucleotides) under uncultured bacterium. RNAcentral describes it as "bacterial SSU rRNA". It matches the Rfam family "Bacterial small subunit ribosomal RNA", at positions 521 to 896 of the family's 1533-position model. The record is from RNAcentral.
UAAGACGUAGGGGACGAGCGUUGUCCGGAUUUAUUGGGCGUAAAGCGCGCGCAGGCGGCUUGGUAAGUCGGGUGUGAAAAUCCGAGGCUCAACCUCGGACGUGCACCUGAAACUGCCAGGCUAGAGGUAGGUAGGGGAGAUCGGAAUUCCUGGUGUAGCGGUGAAAUGCGCAGAUAUCAGGAGGAACACCGGUGGCGAAGGCGGAUCUCUGGGCCUUACCUGACGCUCAGGCGCGAAAGCUAGGGGAGCGAACAGGAUUAGAUACCCUGGUAGUCCUAGCUGUAAACGUUGGGUGCUAGGUGUGGGCGGUUAUCAACCCCGUCCGUGCCGAAGCUAACGCAUUAAGCACCCCGCCUGGGGAGUACGGUCGCAAGACUA